This 103-nucleotide ribosomal RNA is filed under the name uncultured bacterium. RNAcentral describes it as "partial 16S ribosomal RNA". It matches the Rfam family "Bacterial small subunit ribosomal RNA", at positions 1380 to 1482 of the family's 1533-position model. The record is from RNAcentral.
CUUGUACACACCGCCCGUCACACCAUGGAAGUUGGUUGCACCAGAAGUCGGUAGCCUAACCGCAAGGGGGGCGCCGCCCACGGUGUGGCCAAUGACUGGGGUG